Molecule: ribosomal RNA, 232 nt
Filed under: uncultured bacterium
Lineage: Bacteria
Description: partial 16S ribosomal RNA
Rfam family: Bacterial small subunit ribosomal RNA
Source: RNAcentral
UACGAAGGGGGCUAGCGUUGCUCGGAAUCACUGGGCGUAAAGCGCACGUAGGCGGAUUGCUAAGUCAGGGGUGAAAUCCUGGAGCUCAACUCCAGAACUGCCUUUGAUACUGGCGACCUUGAGUCCGGGAGAGGUGAGUGGAACUGCGAGUGUAGAGGUGAAAUUCGUAGAUAUUCGCAAGAACACCAGUGGCGAAGGCGGCUCACUGGCCCGGUACUGACGCUGAGGUGCG